This 270-nucleotide unclassified non-coding RNA is filed under the name Hevea brasiliensis (rubber tree). The record is from RNAcentral. Lineage: Eukaryota; Viridiplantae; Streptophyta; Magnoliopsida; Malpighiales; Euphorbiaceae.
UUUGGUUUUGCUGUUGGGAUGUUAACAGAAUAUGCAACUGGUUCUGACUUUGUGGAUCAAGUUAAGAUCCUUCUCUCAAAUUUUGGGAUACUAGACUUGGAAUGAGGUUCCUCCAUAUCACUAAAUCUUGCCAUAAGAUACUUUCCUUUGUAAUUUUCUGUAAAAGAAAUACAAUUGCUUUCUUUCAAAUUUCAUUUGUUUGAGCCCCUUCAUUGUACUAUAUACAGUAUAGUUAACACACUCCUACCUGUGUUAUUAUUCACGUAAGAA